GUAGUCUGCAACCCGACUACAUGAAGCCGGAAUCGCUAGUAAUCGCGGAUCAGAAUGCCGCGGUGAAUACGUUCCCGGGUCUUGUACACACCGCCCGUCACACCAUGGGAGUUGGAAAUGCCCGAAGUCAGUGGCCCAACCGGAAGGGGGGAGCUGCCGAAGGCAGGGUUCGAUGACUGGGGGUGAAGUCGUAACAAGGUAAC
Molecule: ribosomal RNA, 203 nt
Filed under: uncultured bacterium
Lineage: Bacteria
Description: partial 16S ribosomal RNA
Rfam family: Bacterial small subunit ribosomal RNA
Source: RNAcentral